AAGGAAUAUUGGACAAUGGGCGCAAGCCUGAUCCAGCCAUCCCGCGUGCUUGAUGAAGGCCCUCUGGGUUGUAAAGAGCUUUAGUCUGGGAAGAAACCGUUUUCUGCGGAAGACGCUGACGGUACCAGAAGAAUAAGCACCGGCUAACUCCGUGCCAGCAGCCGCGGUAAUACGGAGGGUGCAAGCGUUAUCCGGAAUCACUGGGUUUAAAGGGUGCGUAGGCGGUCUGAUAAGUCAGAGGUGAAAGCCUGCAGCUUAACUGUAGAAUUGCCUUUGAUACUGUCAGACUUGAAUGGGGUCGAGGUCGGCGGAAUGUGGCAUGUAGCGGUGAAAUGCAUAGAUAUGCCAUAGAACACCAAUUGCGAAGGCAGCUGACUAGGCCUGUAUUGACGCUGAGGCACGAAAGCGUGGGGAGCAAAC
RNAcentral lists this ribosomal RNA (420 nucleotides) under uncultured bacterium. RNAcentral's name for it is "bacterial SSU rRNA". It matches the Rfam family "Bacterial small subunit ribosomal RNA", at positions 356 to 773 of the family's 1533-position model. The record is from RNAcentral.